This 606-nucleotide ribosomal RNA is filed under the name Triticum aestivum (bread wheat). RNAcentral describes it as "partial small subunit ribosomal RNA". The record is from RNAcentral. Lineage: Eukaryota; Viridiplantae; Streptophyta; Magnoliopsida; Poales; Poaceae.
AUGGCCGGCGUCCUGCUCUCGGCCGCCGUUGCCUGCGUCCUUCUCGCCGGCGCCGCGUCCGCGUCGUCGUCGUCGCCGCGGGUGUUCACCGUCGGCGGCGUAGAGAGGGGCUGGAGGCAGCCGGCGCCCGGCGAGGAGACCUACAACCACUGGGCCACCAAGAACCGCUUCCACGUCGGCGAUUUCCUCCAUUUCAGGUACGACAAGAACGACUCCGUGCUGGUGGUGACGCGCGACGACUACAAGCGCUGCGGCGCGGACAGGCCGGUGCUCCGCCUCGAGGGCGGCGAGGCGAGGUUCCGGCUCGAGCGGAGCGGCUUCCUCUACUUCAUCAGCGGCUCGCCGGGCCACUGCGACGCCGGCCAGAGGUUCACCCUGCGCGUCAUGGCGCAGAGGGACAACGGCGCCGCCUCCCCGACGGAGGCCCCCGCCAUGUCUCCCGGCGGGUCCUUCAACUCCACGCCGGGGUCCGGAUCAGGAUCCACGCGCAUGCCGCCGCGCGGGAACGCCGGCGACGGGAAGACCAGCGGCGCCGCGCCCUUCGGUGCCUAUCACGCCGUUGGCGCCGCUCUGGGAGUGGGUGCCGCCUUGCUGGCCUUUGCAUGA